This 1066-nucleotide long non-coding RNA is filed under the name Solanum tuberosum (potato). RNAcentral describes it as "long non-coding RNA (STUB_LNC004001)". The record is from RNAcentral. Lineage: Eukaryota; Viridiplantae; Streptophyta; Magnoliopsida; Solanales; Solanaceae.
UGGUGAAUUUGCUCGAGUUGAAAAAAAUCCUUCUAUUCAUUAGUUUUAGAAGAAGAACAUUAAGUAUUAAAAUAAUUAAGUAAUAUCUAACGUGAAAAUGAAUAGGGGCAACAUGCUAGAUCGAUGACUUACAUUGGAGAAACGAAAACAAUUUCCUGCAAGAUUAAUUGAAAAUUCAGGGUCAAUAAAGAAAAUAAUUCUUGCUAAUUCAAUUAAAAUUAUGAAUAAUUGGAGGAGAUUAUAAAAUAACAAUAAAGAUCCAUUAGGAAUGAUUAAAUUAUGUAUGUUAAUGAUUGAGGUACGAUGAAAUGAUUGACACUUCCACUUAAUUAGAGAAUUUAUGGAUUUGUCUCUAAGUGUAAGUCAUAAUAUAAUUGUUAUUGACCCACUUUUGACUAAUAUAGAUUUUUCUAACUACUAAUAAAUAAUGUAAAAGGAAAAAAACAAUAAGAAGUGAUAUAUGUGAAAUUGUUCAAUUUGAUAAAAACCUUUAAAAAAAUAAUAUUUUUUGUAAUUUGUAAUCUAAAAUACUUUUUGAUAAUUUGUAUGACUGUAAUUCAUUUCUUUAAGAGUAAAUGGAAAAUUUUACGAAAAUGUGACAUUCUUUUUGGAACGGAUUAAAAAGAAAUACGUGUCACACAAAUUGAAACAAAAAAAAUAUUAUAUUUAAAAUGUAACAUUUGUCAUCUUUUAAAUAAAAUAAACUAUAUGCUAUAAUAGGUAAAUAUAAAAUAAUGGUAUAACAAUUGCAUAUACUAACAUGUGUAUAACUCAAGUAUUUUGACAAUUGAGUUCUAAAAACUAACAAGAAAAAGAGAUUUUUACCAAGGACACCAAAAACAAAUGCCCAAUGACCAGAAAUAGCCAUCUCUUUUUCUUUUCUCAAAAUGAAAAUUUCUCUCUUUGUUAAUCUCUCAGUUACAAAGAAUUGCAAGUACUUGAUUGAUAAUGAAAUGAGGAGUGCUCACUUCACAUAUUUAUAUAGCAAGGCUACAAGUAUAUAAUAUUAUUGGAUAUAUAUGUUCUAUAGUUCUCCAAUUUAAAUUUUUAUUUCAAUUAGUGCUUU